AGCGAACGCUGGCGGCAUGCCUAACACAUGCAAGUCGAACGGGAAUUAUUCGUAUAGUACCGUGGCGAACGGGUGAGUAACGCGUAGAUAAUCUGCCUUUGGGCGGGGGAUAACCAUUCGAAAGGAUGGCUAAUACCGCAUACGACCGCAAGGUGAAAGGCUUCGGCCACCCAAAGAUGAGUCUGCGUCCCAUUAGCUAGUUGGUGAGGUAAGAGCUUACCAAGGCGAUGAUGGGUAGCUGGUCUGAGAGGACGAUCAGCCACACUGGGACUGAGACACGGCCCAG
RNAcentral lists this ribosomal RNA (286 nucleotides) under uncultured bacterium. RNAcentral describes it as "partial 16S ribosomal RNA". It matches the Rfam family "Bacterial small subunit ribosomal RNA", at positions 29 to 334 of the family's 1533-position model. The record is from RNAcentral.